CUCACUUGUUGACUAGACAUUAAUUUGAAAAGUGAAAAGUGUUAUUACGUGGUCGAUCUAAUUACGCGUUCUUUAAAGAAAAAUAUUUUAACAGAAACGUUAUAUCAAAUCUAUUAGAUAGUUCAACUAUGCGUAUAAAUACUGCCCGUUUAAGUGACCCCGAGUUUUGAUUAACGACGUCCCCACUACUUUUUAGAAUUGCACGUUCCAAGCAAACUUGGAACUGUAUAAGUACUGUACUGUAUAAUAUGAUGCAACCUUACAAUUAAAUUGUUGAGAUGCGUACCAUCGAAACAAUACCAAAAGCAAAGAUCAAUGUUAAUUGCGCGGUAAUUAAUUUCUAAUUCUUAAACAUUGUCGACUCUCUGAAUAUGGAUUCCAUAGGACAGAACGUAAAGCUCGAUGUUAUGAAGGUAGGAUGUUGUUAUGUCUCAUUCACGAUCACGUAUUCGCAGUAGAGUGAGCCAAAGUAAGAUAACACCGGGGAUUGUAAGCGAAUAAUGCUGUACACACAGCAUGUAGUACAUGCGUACGCAUAUAGCAUAUCGUACAAAUCUCGUAUUCAGACAUAAAGUAAUUAAGUAAGAUUUAUUAUAACUUUAUGUAAAAUAUCGGAUGUUUAUAAUUACAGUGGUACUCCAUUUACAUGAACGAUAUUGUAGAUUUUAAUUUACUAUAUUUUAGCUGAUUUCAUAUUAUCUAAAUUAUUGCCGAGCGUCAAUCCUCUUAUAUGAGCGUCUAACAUUGAAAUGUAAACAGUAGGAACACGUGUUACGUGAAAUACUCUCAUGAUUUACAAUUAAUACAAUUUUGAUUACAACAUUGUUAUGUAUUUAAGAGCAAAUGUUCGGUGGAAUUCUCUUAUACGAACGCGAAUUCCUAUUAACAGAACGAAAAAUCACAGAUGGUAGGGAGAAAUAGGUAGCACUCGUAUCAUAUCAACGGCUUGGUUAUAUGAAUCAACUUGUCCCCCGGCAAGUUCAAGUUUAUAUAUCGUUAUAUGAUUGACGCAUAGUAGAUCACGAUUUAAAUUGCAUACAUGGCAAAAAUGAAUACUCAUCGUUCCUGAUAUUUGAAGAUUUUAUGUAUGUACAGAUUCUCGUUUCGAACAAUUUGCAUUUUCAUCGAGAAAUUGCAGAGAGUCCAUUUAGAAAAUGUUCGAAGUCCAUUACGUCGAUGUUCAAAGUUCUUCCUUCACAGAAUUUCAGAGUUAAAGUCCACGUAUGAGAUUGUCAAUCGUCAUCGGUUGAAGCAAGGAAAGGCGCAAAUGCAAUAACACCGGUGAUGAUCUCACGUACUUAAGAUCAAAUUGUCUUAUGUGGAAUAGCUGCAAAAUUUCACGCGGUUAUGAAUAUUGAGUCAAUGAGUGUAUGAAGCAAACAUACAUCCUUUAUUAUUCGCUACAUCAUUGCGAUUUUGUCAUUGAACUUCCGAGAUCAAACCGAGGGCAUAGUUGAUUGAAUCAACUUGAAAUACGUUCGAGAGGAGUUUAAAGAGGCAGUCAAGUGAAUAGAAGUUGUUCGAGCAUUAUGAGGCCUAGUAACGGUAUGCGUUGAGAGAAAUACUUGGCUGCCCGAAGCAGAAGCGGAAUAAACACAUUAGAUGUACUUAUAUCAACGGUCAACCUUUGCCAACAACAAGCGAAUCUAAGAAAUGUUUCCAAACAGCUCAACAGGUUUGACACCGCUGAGACGCUGGCCUGACAAUUGGCACGUACUGUAUCCUUCAACCUCGUUAAAGAAUUGCUAAUUCGUACUUCGAAUUCAAUGACCUUGAACAUGUUUCGAAUAAAUCAUAAGCCAUUGGCAUAUUUCAUACAAAUAGAGCAUGCCAAAAUGAUAAAAAAAUAUGUGUAGAAUUAUGGAUAUUGUGAGAUCGAUGAGAAAACCUUGGCAUUGAGUGGUGAAAUUAUGGCGUGAAUGUAGAUAUAUUACAUUAAAUUUCGUCUACUAUCUCAUAAUUCCUAUACUGACUUAAAAUAUUUGAAUUAAUCUUAUAUACGUUAUUCUACCGAGAUAUACAAUGAGGCUGAAAUUUUUAAGAAAUUACUAUCACUAUUACUAAGAGAUUACUAUCACUAUUUUCACAAUAUCUUACGCUAUCUUGCAACCACUAUCUAUACUAUCUAAGCACUGUAAAAAGUGCAUUAUCUUCCCUUCGAAAA
Bombus impatiens (common eastern bumble bee) is the source of this 2164-nucleotide long non-coding RNA. RefSeq lists it as uncharacterized. The record is from RefSeq and is a predicted model, not a curated record. NCBI's taxonomy places the organism in Eukaryota, Metazoa, Arthropoda, Insecta, Hymenoptera, Apidae. The transcript is spliced from 4 exons.